This 207-nucleotide ribosomal RNA is filed under the name uncultured bacterium. RNAcentral's name for it is "partial 16S ribosomal RNA". It matches the Rfam family "Bacterial small subunit ribosomal RNA", at positions 568 to 774 of the family's 1533-position model. The record is from RNAcentral.
CACGUAGGCGGCUUUGUAAGUUAGAGGUGGAAGCCCGGGGCUCAACUCCGGAAUUGCCUUUAAGACUGCAUCGCUAGAAUUGUGGAGAGGUAAGUGGAAUUCCGAGUGUAGAGGUGAAAUUCGUAGAUAUUCGGAAGAACACCAGUGGCGAAGGCGACUUACUGGACACAUAUUGACGCUGAGGUGCGAAAGCGUGGGGAGCAAACA